CCUGCAAGAUCCCCAGCAGAGUCGCCAGAGGUGUCACACUCUUUUUUUACAAACUCACUUAACCCUGUUAAAUUAAUAAAAAAGAUUUGUAAAGCUCAAAAGGGCUUUUAAUUAAAAAGUGACAAAAUUGUGUUCCAAAGGAAAUAACUCAGAUUCGCCACCUGACUUUGAUUUCGGUGUGCCAGGUCACCGUUUUAAAAAAAAAAAAUUUCCUUUAAAAUACUUUGGACUCCAAAACUAAGUCCGCACCAGAGAUUCAGGUAAGGGGGUUCAUUUGACUCGGGAAGAAGGUGUUAGACACUCCCCAAGUCCCGUAACUAGUACGGUUGCAUGCUUGAUCUAGUCUAUUUUUAAAAUAUUCAAUUUAAGGUGAAAACACAUAAAAGGAAAGUAAACAUAAAAAAGGCUCGAGGUCGUCCCCUCCUAAUAAAGAAAAUAUAAAAAAAGAAAUAAGGAAGAAUCUUAAAUACUAACAUGUACUAUAUUGUUCCAUAGCUUCGUCAUGGCCUCCAAAUACAUUAUACUAUGGGGCAUUACCCGUAAUAAAGUAGGUACAAAUCCUUCGGGGCAUUCCCCAGAUAAAUUUAACUAAGGGAAAAACCUCUCACCUUGAAACCAACGAAAAUCUUAAGGCUUGCCUACCCAAAUGUGGUUGGCCUAAACAUGCUCCUAGCGAUUAUGAAAGAAAAGUCAAAAUUAAGCUAAAAUAGAGAUAUUCCAUGAUCAUGUUCAAUCUUUAUUUCAUUUGUGAUUUCACUCUCCCUGGUCCAGCAAUCAGUCAAACAACUUCAACAAAGACCAAACGAGUAAACAGUAACAAUCAAAGACAUGAAAUGAAGAAAGAGCUAAUUAAUUAGACUGAAAAGAAAGAAAGGAACCGAAAAUUGAUCCAAGCAUGACAAGAGCCGCAAGUAUGUAAAAGCUGAAAUUUAACUUUACUAAAGGUGCAAUCUAAAGUUAUGAAGAUUCUGAGAUUAGUUCAUGCCCUUAAUCACGUAGGGAACCUUAUUGUAUAAAACAAAAGUAAAUAUAAUCUGCCAGCUAUAGCUAUAAGACAUGGAUAGUAUACUAUAAUUUCAAACAAUAAAAGCUCAUUAAUUUAGCUAAUCCAAUUUCAUGACUUCUGACCAUGCAAAUUUAGAAAAUAGUCAACCUCCUACUAUCUCCGAUUGUAAUUUUCAUAUCCAAAGGCAAAACAAUCAUAUAAUACGUUACUAGACCAUUAUAGUACUAUUUUGUGUGUAUAUAUAUAUAUACACACACACAUAUAUAUGCAAUGUCUACUCCUUUUGAUUCCUUAAUCAACUAAACUCAUGUAACAUUGCCUAGACUUUACCAAUUUAGUAUUAAGUCAUCACAACUAAAAUAAGGUAUGAGAAUCAUGUUUAAGAACUCAUGUAGGCAACAACUAAGGAAGUUUAUGAAGUAAAAUUAUUAUCCUAAAUUAGAUUCAAAUAAGGAAAAGAAACCAAUAAAGAAACAAGAUACGACAGCAGAUACUAAUGUCAAACAUAGAAAGCCUUAAACUCAAAUUAGACACAGACACUCUAAGCAAACAGGGAACAAAAGAAUUCUUGAACUUCAAAACCAAUUAAAAUUUUUAUGCCCCAAAUUUUAAACGACUCUCAUUAUGCUUUUCACAAUAAUUCAGAUUAAGACAAAGAUAGGGGAGAAACCUGGAAUAGCAAAUGCAGCGAUGAGAAUCCGAGGCGACACAGAACCACCGAUCGGAACCCAAAAUGCUCGGACUCGAACUCCCCGGUUUGAACACCAGAAACCGAAAUUGAAAGAAGUAACAGAAAUUUUCGUAUAUUUUUUUGAUUUUUU
RNAcentral lists this long non-coding RNA (1827 nucleotides) under Nicotiana tabacum (common tobacco). Its description in RNAcentral is "long non-coding RNA (NTAB_LNC006057)". Lineage: Eukaryota; Viridiplantae; Streptophyta; Magnoliopsida; Solanales; Solanaceae. The record is from RNAcentral.